AUACGGAGGAUGCAAGCGUUAUCCGGAUUUACUGGGCGUAAAGGGCGUGUAGGCGGUCUUGCAAGUCAGAAGUGAAAUUCCUGAGCUCAACUCGGGCGCUGCUUCUGAAACUGCAGGACUUGAGUGCUGGAGGGGAUAGCGGAAUUCCUAGUGGAGCGGUAAAAUGCGCAGAUAUUAGGAAGAACACCGGUGGCGAAGGCGGCCAACUAGAAAGUAACUUAUGCUUAGGCGCGAAAGCGUGGGGAGCAAACAGGAUUAGAUUCCCUGGUCGUCCACGCUGUAAACGAUGUUUACUAGGUGUGGGGGGACUGACCCCUUCCGUGCCGCAGUUAACACAAUAAGGAUCCCACCUGGGGAGUACGAUCGCAAGGUUGAAACUCAAAGGAAUUGACGGGG
RNAcentral lists this ribosomal RNA (396 nucleotides) under uncultured bacterium. RNAcentral's name for it is "partial 16S ribosomal RNA". It matches the Rfam family "Bacterial small subunit ribosomal RNA", at positions 523 to 918 of the family's 1533-position model. The record is from RNAcentral.